CCUGGCGGUCAUAGCGUCUGGGAACCACCCGAUCCCAUCCCGAACUCGGAAGUGAAACCAGACCGCGCCGAUGAUAGUGUGGGAGUUCCCAUGCGAAAGUAGGUCACUGCCAGGC
RNAcentral lists this ribosomal RNA (115 nucleotides) under Gammaproteobacteria bacterium. Lineage: Bacteria; Pseudomonadati; Pseudomonadota; Gammaproteobacteria. The record is from RNAcentral.